AAAUUGAAGAGUUUGAUCAUGGCUCAGAUUGAACGCUGGCGGCAGGCCUAACACAUGCAAGUCGAACGGUAACAGGAAGCAGCUUGCUGCUUCGCUGACGAGUGGCGGACGGGUGAGUAAUGUCUGGGAAACUGCCUGAUGGAGGGGGAUAACUACUGGAAACGGUAGCUAAUACCGCAUAACGUCGCAAGACCAAAGAGGGGGACCUUCGGGCCUCUUGCCAUCGGAUGUGCCCAGAUGGGAUUAGCUUGUUGGUGGGGUAACGGCUCACCAAGGCGACGAUCCCUAGCUGGUCUGAGAGGAUGACCAGCCACACUGGAACUGAGACACGGUCCAGACUCCUACGGGAGGCAGCAGUGGGGAAUAUUGCACAAUGGGCGCAAGCCUGAUGCAGCCAUGCCGCGUGUAUGAAGAAGGCCUUCGGGUUGUAAAGUACUUUCAGCGGGGAGGAAGGGAGUAAAGUUAAUACCUUU
Molecule: ribosomal RNA, 473 nt
Filed under: Escherichia coli
Lineage: Bacteria; Pseudomonadati; Pseudomonadota; Gammaproteobacteria; Enterobacterales; Enterobacteriaceae
Also listed under: 4 other names
Description: bacterial SSU rRNA
Rfam family: Bacterial small subunit ribosomal RNA
Source: RNAcentral